UACGGAGGGUGCAAACGUUGCUCGGAAUCAUUGGGCGUAAAGCGCACGUAGGCGGUUUGUUAAGUCGGGUGUGAAAGCCCUGGGCUCAACCCAGGAAGUGCACUCGAAACUAGCAGGCUUGAGUAUGGAAGAGGGUCGCGGAAUUCCCGGUGUAGAGGUGAAAUUCGUAGAUAUCGGGAGGAACACCAGUGGCGAAGGCGGCGACCUGGGCCAAUACUGACGCUGAGGUGCGAAAGCGUGGGGAGCAAACAGG
Molecule: ribosomal RNA, 253 nt
Filed under: uncultured bacterium
Lineage: Bacteria
Description: partial 16S ribosomal RNA
Rfam family: Bacterial small subunit ribosomal RNA
Source: RNAcentral